UGCAUCAUUUUAAUUCCCCCCCCCCCAUUCUUCUUCACUUCUGACGCACGAAAGCUUCCCCGCGUGCUCUGCUCCACGCCCCCGGCUGGUUUCCUUCGCCGGCCUGACCUUCUCUCCGGCCCAUGUGGGAGCAUUAGUUCGGACCGUUUGACUUCAUCUCUCCGGCACGUUUGGCUUCAUAACUCCGGCUGGGUUCGCUUCCUCUCUCGGCUUGUUUCUGUCCAUACGACGAAAAAAACUUCCCCAUUUAUUUUCGCCGCACAAUCCUCCGGUGGUUGGGUCUUUCCGGCGAAAGCAGGGGUGAGAGACAAGAAGGAGAGUCGAGUGAGAGUGAGCAGGACGGACGGGGGAGGGAAACGGCGUUUUGGUCACUCUGGCGUCGUGAGAGGGAGGAUCAUAUGGAGGAGGACGGACGUGAGAGGCCGUAUUCCGUUUAUGGGUCUGAGGGGUUUUUCUUCACUCCGGCUUCGUAACAGUCCUGAGAGGGAAGAGGGAGGAUCAGAGGGAGGAGGACGAACGUGAGAGGCUGUAUUCCGUUUAUGGGUUUGAGGGUUUUUUCUUCACUCCGGCAUUGUGACAGUCUUGAGAGGGAAGAGGGAGGAUUGUGAGAGGGAGGAUUGUGAGAGGGAGGGAAGAGUGAGGUCUGAGAGUUUGAAUGAAUUUCGUGCGUUUGAGAGUUUCAAUUUCGUCCCGCCCAGAUUAAACCGUGAUGUUGCCUCCGGACCAGGUUCGCCACGUCAAGAGUGCGUCGUGCGUUUUAAAAACCGGGGGAUGGAUAGAUUAAUUCAUCAUUUUAAUGGACUGUUAUUAAUGCUGGUCGUGACCUGGACACAGUUAACAAGGAAAAUGAGAUAAACAUAGAAGAAGAAAAAAGGUUCAUUCUGAGAUGCAGAUCAAACUUAAAAUGAGAUUCUGCCGCAGUUGAGGACGAACAGCUCCUUAAGAUGUACAUAACGACAAAUUGCUGCAAAUUUUUUCACCUCACCACCAGCCCACUCACAGGACUUUGCUUUCUGUCACUUACCACAUGUUAUUUUAUUUCCCAUAUUAUUUGCUUUCACCUGAGAUUUCAUCAUUUAUUGUAUAUUUUAUGUCAAUCCAUUUUUUUUUUUAUAGGCUGUCAAUCACUACCACCAGUCGUCCACCCACCUCACUUUUUUUCAUGUACAAUAACUCUUCUUUGUCACCCAUCAUAUCCCUUUCAAUCAAUACAAUUGCUUCCUUUUUCGAGACUCUUCUUCGGUUCCUCCCCGCCCUCUUUUCGCUCUCUCUCCUCUGGCCCCCCUUCUUCCCUGCCCCUUCUUUGUCUCUCCAUUUCUCUUGCUCUCUCUCCUCUGGCCCCCCUCCUCCUCGCCAGCUUCUCUCUGUCUCUCCAUUUCUCUCGCUCUCUCUCCUCUCACCCCCCCCCGUUAGUCUCGAAUGUCUUCCUCGUCCCCCUUCUGUUCUCUUUCUCUGUUGCUUCUUCCCCGCCCCCCCUUCUGUUUUCUUUCUCUGUUUCUUCUUCCCUACCCCCCCUUCUUCUCCUCCCCUUAUAUUUUGUUUUGGUUUUUUCUUUUUUACCACUGUGAGCCACCAUCAUUGCGUUCGUCUGCUAGGUUGCCUUUGAAGAAAAGGUUGGAUCUGUUGUUUGUUGGGUCUCCCUCGCAUCGCGGCUCAGAUCCGGUGCCUAUGGCUGCGCAUCGCAGCCCAUGACCACGUCGAACCUCCACGCUUCGGCCAUACCCACCUUCCCCAGCCCACGCCGAGCUCCCUCUCCAUCAGAUGCCCUCUCCAUCAUUUUUUUUUUCUUGAUGGCAUCUCAAGGACAUACGAGGAAUCAGAAGAUGGAAUUUCCAUGAUGGAUUUUAUUUUUUUGUUGGGUUUAUUUUCUUUAAAACACAGAUGUGAAUACGCAAAUAUAGUUUUUAUUUUCUUUCCA
Carya illinoinensis is the source of this 1918-nucleotide long non-coding RNA. RefSeq lists it as uncharacterized. The record is from RefSeq and is a predicted model, not a curated record. NCBI's taxonomy places the organism in Eukaryota, Viridiplantae, Streptophyta, Magnoliopsida, Fagales, Juglandaceae. The transcript has 3 exons.